This 406-nucleotide non-coding RNA is filed under the name Pongo abelii (Sumatran orangutan). The record is from RNAcentral. Lineage: Eukaryota; Metazoa; Chordata; Mammalia; Primates; Hominidae.
UUAAAUCAUCCAUUUAAAGAUGUCAGACAAGCUCUGUGUUCUAAGGACACAGCAUGUACAACCUCACAUAGAGUUCCUGACCAGACAAGACUCGCUGGAAAUUUCCCAGGAUCUUCCUUCCUUAAGUUUGAAUAGCUCUCUGGUUCCAGUUUGAAGCUGAAAAGGUUAAAUUCUACCUGAAGGAUGAAAACAACCAACAUCUGUGCCAAGACAGUCAGGAGGGCAACCAUGUUUCCUGGUGGAGCCUCUGGAACCACUCAAGCCAAGAUGACCCGGGGUUUGGCUGGGAGGAGGUGGGGAAACUACAGACCCUACAAAUGGUUUCCUGUACCAUGAGGCUAAGCCUGGGGGCAGGAGACGCUGUGCCUUAGUUUCUUCAUCUGUAAAAUGAAGUAACACAGUACCU